GUAUCUUUGGGUCUGGCUCUUGUCUAUGUUUCUUGGAACAGAACGUCACAGAGGGUGAGAAUCCCGUGCGAUGAGAUGAUCCAGGCCUAUGUAAAGUUCCUUCGAAGAGUCGAGUUGUUUGGGAAUGCAGCUCUAAGUGGGUGGUAAAUUCCAUCUAAAGCUAAAUAUUGGCGAGAGACCGAUAGCGAACAAGUACAGUGAUGGAAAGAUGAAAAGAACUUUGAAAAGAGAGUGAAAAAGUACGUGAAAUUGUUGAAAGGGAAGGGCUUGAGAUCAGACUUGGUAUUUUGUAUGUUACUUCUUCGGGGGUGGCCUCUACAGUUUAUCGGGCCAGCAUCAGUUUGGGCGGUAGGAGAAUUGCGUUGGAAUGUGGCACGGCUUCGGUUGUGUGUUAUAGCCUUCGUCGAUACUGCCAGCCUAGACUGAGGACUGCGGUUUAUACCUAGGAUGUUGGCAUAAUGAUCUU
Molecule: ribosomal RNA, 466 nt
Filed under: Candida tropicalis
Lineage: Eukaryota; Fungi; Ascomycota; Pichiomycetes; Serinales; Debaryomycetaceae
Also listed under: 1 other name
Description: eukaryotic LSU rRNA
Rfam family: Eukaryotic large subunit ribosomal RNA
Source: RNAcentral